Molecule: ribosomal RNA, 433 nt
Filed under: uncultured bacterium
Lineage: Bacteria
Description: partial 16S ribosomal RNA
Rfam family: Bacterial small subunit ribosomal RNA
Source: RNAcentral
AACGAACGCUGGCGGCAUGCCUAACACAUGCAAGUCGAACGAGACCUUCGGGUCUAGUGGCGCACGGGUGCGUAACGCGUGGGAAUCUGCCCUUGUGUUUGGCAUAACAGUUGGAAACGACUGCUAAUACCGGAUGAUGACGUAAGUCCAAAGAUUUAUCGCCCAGGGAUGAGCCCGCGUAGGAUUAGCUAGUUGGUGGGGUAAUGGCAUACCAAGGCGACGAUCCUUAGCUGGUCUGAGAGGAUGAUCAGCCACACUGGGACUGAGACGCGGCCGAGACUCCUACGCGAGGCAGCAGUGGGGAAUAUUGGACAAUGGGCGAAGGGCUGAUCCAGCAAGGCCGGGUGAGUGAUGAAGGCCUUAGGGUUGUAAAGCUCUUUUAACCGGGAUGAUAAUGACAGUACCGGGAGAAUAAGCCCCGGCUAACUCCGCG